AGCGGCAGGCCUAACACAUGCAAGUCGAGGGGUAGAAAGAGCUUGCUUUUUGAGACCGGCGCACGGGUGAGUAACGCGUAUGCAACCUACCUUAUACAGGGGAAUAGCCCGAAGAAAUUCGGAUUAAUGCUCCAUGGUUUAUCGAUAUGGCAUCGUAUUGAUAAUAAAGAUUUAUCGGUAUAAGAUGGGCAUGCGUAUCAUUAGCUAGUUGGUAUGGUAACGGCAUACCAAGGCAACGAUGAUUAGGGGUCCUGAGAGGGAGAUCCCCCACACUGGUACUGAGACACGGACCAGACUCCUACGGGAGGCAGCAGUGAGGAAUAUUGGUCAAUGGAGGCAACUCUGAACCAGCCAUGCCGCGUGCAGGAUGACGGUCCUAUGGAUUGUAAACUGCUUUUGUACAGGAAGAAACCUCCCUACGUGUAGGGACUUGACGGUACUGUAAGAAUAAGGAUCGGCUAACUCCGUGCCAGCAGCCGCGGUAAU
Molecule: ribosomal RNA, 486 nt
Filed under: uncultured bacterium
Lineage: Bacteria
Description: bacterial SSU rRNA
Rfam family: Bacterial small subunit ribosomal RNA
Source: RNAcentral